AGCAGCAUGGCGCAGCUGGAAGCGCGCGGGGCCCAUAUGAGCUUGUGGUACCCCGAGGUCACUUGAUCGAAACAAGUUGCUGCUA
Termitomyces sp. Mn162 is the source of this 85-nucleotide non-coding RNA. NCBI's taxonomy places the organism in Eukaryota, Fungi, Basidiomycota, Agaricomycetes, Agaricales, Lyophyllaceae. The record is from the annotation of a GenBank genome assembly.